UCACCACACCGCAGGCAACGGGAUAUGUAAACGUUCCCAUGCAACUUUCCUUAAUGAAGCACGUACGUGCAAAUACACGCUUCUGUUUUUUUUUUUAGAAAAAAAGAUAAGUGUGUGUGCUUCCUUUGCUGAGGUUUCUUUUCUCACGUUAGGCGUGGUCGGGCCUCGAUCGGUUAACUGCAUGCGCUCUGUUGUGUUGAAUCCUUUUUUUCUGCUUAAUAUAAUGCACUACCAAAUGAGUAGAGUUCUUCUAGUGUUUUUAAUUAGUAAUAAAAUAUUAUUAUUAGUAACAUCAAAAAAUUCUCACUAGGAGAAAAAAAAAGUUUAUACUAAAUUUUGAACACUAACACACUAGGAAAGAAGCCCACAUCGCUAGUUAGGAGAAGUUGAAAAUUUUGGUGACAAGUUGAAAAUUUUGGUUACCAUGAAAUAUGCGUCAUCUUUGGCUUGAUCGGGAAAAAAAAAAAACAGAACAGGAGCGCGCUCAGCUCGGCCCGGUUCACGGGGCAAUGUAAACCGCACGAAUCUCAGAGCGCUGUGCAGCCACUGUAACACACGCUGGCGUCUCUUCCCAACCGGGCUCCACUAGCAACACCACUGCACUCCAGCAGAUCGAGCGAAGCCAACUUUUAGCGAAGCGGGCGGCGGCGAGGGUUUUGGAGGUCUCCAGCGCGGCGUCCGCAGAGGGAGAGACGGCCAGACCACCACCCACGACCACCAUGUCUGCGUACGUAAGUACUCCGAACGCUCCGGUCUCCCCACUCGACACCCCC
Molecule: long non-coding RNA, 773 nt
Filed under: Sorghum bicolor (sorghum)
Lineage: Eukaryota; Viridiplantae; Streptophyta; Magnoliopsida; Poales; Poaceae
Description: long non-coding RNA (SBIC_LNC015290)
Source: RNAcentral